Molecule: ribosomal RNA, 495 nt
Filed under: uncultured bacterium
Lineage: Bacteria
Description: partial 16S ribosomal RNA
Rfam family: Bacterial small subunit ribosomal RNA
Source: RNAcentral
GAUGAACGCUGGCGGCGUGCCUAAUACAUGCCAGUCGAGCGAACGGACGAGAAGCUUGCUUUUCUGAUGUUAGCGGCGGACGGGUGAGUAACACGUGGAUAACCUACCUAUAAGACUGGGAUAACUUCGGGAAACCGGAGCUAAUACCGGAUAAUAUUUUGAACCGCAUGGUUCAAAAGUGAAAGACGGUCUUGCUGUCACUUAUAGAUGGAUCCGCGCUGCAUUAGCUAGUUGGUAAGGUAACGGCUUACCAAGGCAACGAUGCAUAGCCGACCUGAGAGGGGGAGGGGGCAGCAUGGGACUGAGACCCGGUACAGACGCCAACGGGAGGCAGCAGUGGGGAGUGGUUGGCGAUGGGCGAAAGACUGAAAGAGCAACUCAGCGUGAAUGAUGAAAGUCGUCGGAACGUGAAACCCUGUUAACAGUGAAGAACAUAAGAGCAAGGAACUGCGCCCCUCCUGACGGAACGUAAUGAGAAAGCCACGGCUAACUACC